This 45-nucleotide non-coding RNA is filed under the name Schistosoma haematobium. Lineage: Eukaryota; Metazoa; Platyhelminthes; Trematoda; Strigeidida; Schistosomatidae. The record is from RNAcentral.
AUCUAACUGAUGAGUCCCAACUAGGACGAAACACACGUACUGGAC